AAGUCGUAACAAGGUUUCCGUAGGUGAACCUGCGGAAGGAUCAUUACAGAGUUCAUGCCCUCCGGGGCAGACCUCCCACCCUUUGUAUACAUUGCCUUUGUUGCUUUGGCGGGCCGCCGCAAGGCCACCGGCUCCGGCUGGUGCGCGCCCGCCAGAGAACCCCAAACCCUGUCUUACAGUGUCGUCCGAGUACUAUAUAAUAGUUAAAACUUUCAACAACGGAUCUCUUGGUUCUG
RNAcentral lists this unclassified non-coding RNA (236 nucleotides) under fungal sp. RNAcentral's name for it is "partial internal transcribed spacer region". The stretch from base 1 to 46 matches the Rfam family "Eukaryotic small subunit ribosomal RNA", at positions 1786 to 1831 of the family's 1831-position model. The record is from RNAcentral. RNAcentral also lists the same sequence under 2 other names. Lineage: Eukaryota; Fungi.